RNAcentral lists this small RNA (655 nucleotides) under Sarocladium summerbellii. RNAcentral describes it as "eukaryotic LSU rRNA". It matches the Rfam family "Eukaryotic large subunit ribosomal RNA", at positions 1 to 607 of the family's 3401-position model. The record is from RNAcentral. Lineage: Eukaryota; Fungi; Ascomycota; Sordariomycetes; Hypocreales; Sarocladiaceae.
CACACCUCGCACCGGAGACCAGCUCGGCCACGCCGUAAAACACCCCAAUUUUACCAAGGUUGACCUCGGAUCAGGUAGGAAUACCCGCUGAACUUAAGCAUAUCAAUAAGCGGAGGAAAAGAAACCAACAGGGAUUGCCUCAGUAACGGCGAGUGAAGCGGCAACAGCUCAAAUUUGAAAUCUGGCCGCAAGGUCCGAGUUGUAAUUUGCAGAGGAUGCUUUUGGUGAGGUGCUUUCCGAGUUCCCUGGAACGGGACGCCAUAGAGGGUGAGAGCCCCGUACGGUUACGCACCGAGCCUCUGUAAAGCUCCUUCGACGAGUCGAGUAGUUUGGGAAUGCUGCUCUAAAUGGGAGGUGUACGUCUUCUAAAGCUAAAUACCGGCCAGAGACCGAUAGCGCACAAGUAGAGUGAUCGAAAGAUGAAAAGCACUUUGAAAAGAGGGUUAAAAAGUACGUGAAAUUGUUGAAAGGGAAGCAUUUAUGACCAGACUUGGGCAUGGUUGAACAUCCGGCGUUCUCGCCGGUGCACUCUGCCAGCCCAGGCCAGCAUCAGUUUGCCCCGGGGGAUAAAGGCGGCGGGAAUGUAGCUCUCUCCGGGGAGUGUUAUAGCCCGUCGUGCAAUGCCCUGGGGCGGACUGAGGAACGCGCUCGGCAC